Molecule: unclassified non-coding RNA, 195 nt
Filed under: Alnicola salicis
Lineage: Eukaryota; Fungi; Basidiomycota; Agaricomycetes; Agaricales; Hymenogastraceae
Description: partial internal transcribed spacer 2
Source: RNAcentral
AAUUUCUCAACCUUUAUUAGCUUUUGCUGAUGAAUGGCUUGGAUGUGGGGGUUCUUUUGCUGGCUCAGGUCGGCUCCCCUUAAAUGCAUUAGCUGGUGUACCCUGUGGUGGACUUGGUGUGAUAAUUAUCUACGCCAUGUAUUGUCUGCAACGCACUGCUUCUAACCGUCUGUUCAUUCGGACAAUUAAAUGACA